Molecule: ribosomal RNA, 253 nt
Filed under: uncultured bacterium
Lineage: Bacteria
Description: partial 16S ribosomal RNA
Rfam family: Bacterial small subunit ribosomal RNA
Source: RNAcentral
UACGUAGGGGGCAAGCGUUGUCCGGAUUUAUUGGGCGUAAAGAGCGUGUAGGCGGCUAGGUAGGUCCGUUGUGAAAACUCGAGGCUCAACCUCGAGACGUCGAUGGAAACCCUCAGGCUAGAGUCCGGAAGAGGAGAGUGGAAUUCCUGGUGUAGCGGUGAAAUGCGCAGAUAUCAGGAAGAACACCUAUGGCGAAGGCAGCUCUCUGGGACGGUACUGACGCUGAGACGCGAAAGCGUGGGGAGCGAACAGG